AGAAGCGAGCAGCAUUUCCAUUUAUCAAGUAGGUGCAGAAGCCUGUGCAAGUAUUAAGAGUCAGGGUGCAGGCGGCAAGCUCCUGCUUUGCAGCUUUUCUUACUGGUUUUGAGAGCCACCUUCCUAAAGAGGGCCCUGCUGCUCAGGUCUGAUCGUGGACAAUGGGGCACGUACGCCAGACUGCUGGACUACUGAAUGAAUGCCUCUUUCUUUGUUCAAUACCUUUUCCAAGAUUCUUUGUCAUUCUUCUUGGACUCAUCGGGAGGCAUGGGUUUUAAGAUACACAGUAGCUCGGGUCUUACAGCGAAAUAAUUGAUGCUUCAUUGAAAGAAACCAGGCAAAUUGAAAUGUGUGCUAUACUGGCCGGAAAAGAGAGGGAUAUAUGGAAAAGUUGAGGUUCUGGUUAUCAGUGUAAAUGAAUGUGAUAACUACACCAUUCGAAACCUUGUCUUAAAGCAAGGAAGCCACACCCAACAUGUGAAGCAUUACUGGUACACCUCAUGGCCUGAUCACAAGACUCCAGACAGUGCCCAGCCCCUCCUACAGCUCAUGCUGGAUGUAGAAGAAGACAGACUUGCUUCCCAGGGCCGAGGGCCUGUGGUUGUCCACUGCAGUGCAGGAAUAGGUAGAACAGGGUGUUUUAUUGCUACAUCCAUUGGCUGUCAACAGCUGAAAGAAGAAGGAGUUGUGGAUGCACUAAGCAUUGUCUGCCAGCUUCGUAUGGAUAGAGGUGGAAUGGUGCAAACCAGUGAGCAGUAUGAAUUUGUGCACCAUGCUCUGUGCCUGUAUGAGAGCAGACUUUCAGCAGAGACUGUCCAGUGAGUCAUUGAAGACUUGUCAGACCAUCAAUCUCUUGGGGUGAUUAAUCAAAUUACCCACCCAAGGCUUCUAGAAGGAGCUUCCUGCAAUGGAAGGAAGGAGAAGCUCUGAAGCCCAUGUAUGGCAUGGAUUGUGGAAGACUGGGCAACAUAUUUAAGAUUUCCAGCUCCUUGUGUAUAUGAAUGCAUUUGUAAGCAUCCCCCAAAUUAUUCUGAAGGUUUUUUGAUGAUGGAGGUAUGAUAGGUUUAUCACACAGCCUAAGGCAGAUUUUGUUUUGUCUGUACUGACUCUAUCUGCCACACAGAAUGUAUGUAUGUAAUAUUCAGUAAUAAAUGUCAUCAGGUGAUGACUGGAUGAGCUGCUGAAGACAUUCGUAUUAUGUGUUAGAUGCUUUAAUGUUUGCAAAAUCUGUCUUGUGAAUGGACUGUCAGCUGUUAAACUGUUCCUGUUUUGAAGUGCUAUUACCUUUCUCAGUUACCAGAAUCUUGCUGCUAAAGUUGCAAGUGAUUGAUAAUGGAUUUUUAACAGAGAAGUCUUUGUUUUUGAAAAACAAAAAUCAAAAACAGUAACUAUUUUAUAUGGAAAUGUGUCUUGAUAAUAUUACCUAUUAAAUGUGUAUUUAUAGUCCCUCCUAUCAAACAAUUACAGAGCACAAUGAUUGUCAUUGGGUAUAUAUGUAUUUACUCUCUAUUAUUGGGCAUAAAGGUGGCUUCUGCUCCAGAACUCUAUCCACUGUAUUUCCACAUCGUGAGUCAUUUUACUUUAAAAGGGAAAAACAAAUUUGUAGCAACUCUGAAGUAUCAAGAGUUUUAACUACUUGUCUCUCUUUUGCUAAGAAGGGAUUUUUGAAUAUGCUAUCUACCUGGAAUCUCUCUCUCAACAAAAGGUAUAUGCCUUCAGGAAUGAUAUAAUCUGUCCCAUUUUCGAGGCUCCUUAUAAGGACAUUUCCAUGUAUGUCCUUACAUUUCUGAAAGCUUUCAAUCUUCAAGAGACAAAAAAAAUUAAAAUAACUACCCUCAGCAAACACUAGCUGUUCUGCUCAUAUAUGAAUUUUUAAUGCAGCAAUGUUGACUUUGUUUCAUACUGCCAAUAAACUCUUAAUACUAAA
Molecule: long non-coding RNA, 1927 nt
Filed under: Homo sapiens (human)
Lineage: Eukaryota; Metazoa; Chordata; Mammalia; Primates; Hominidae
Description: non-protein coding lnc-PTPRB-3:2
Source: RNAcentral